UCCCUGGAGGACUAGUGGUUAGGCCACAGUGCUCUCACCACUGCGGCCCAGGUUUGAUUCCCAGCCAGGGAA
This 72-nucleotide transfer RNA is filed under the name Pangasianodon hypophthalmus (striped catfish). RNAcentral's name for it is "tRNA-Glu". It matches the Rfam family "tRNA". From Rfam's summary of the family: Transfer RNA (tRNA) molecules are approximately 80 nucleotides in length. Their secondary structure includes four short double-helical elements and three loops (D, anti-codon, and T loops). The record is from RNAcentral. Lineage: Eukaryota; Metazoa; Chordata; Actinopteri; Siluriformes; Pangasiidae.